CCAGUCCUGGCAGGCCACACACCGACUGCCCAGAUGGCUGAAGUCUCCUAGGCUGAAAUGGCGGCAGCUCUGACGAUGCCCCUUGCAGUUGCUGGGCCUCACCCAAGGGUCGAGCGAGGGAAGACCUUCUUGAUGGCUGCAGCGAUGUGCUGGGCCAGCUGUUCCAGGGCAGCCACACCAGGAAGCUCCAGGACCAGCUCAGGCAAGGACUCCAGCUCAAAGCGCCAUGGCCUGGACCUCCAGGUAGCUGAAUGUACAGUCCACCUGUGGAGUGCCUAGAUCAGCCUGAACCAAGGCCCAAGCCCCACCCUUCUGGGAGCCCAGUCCUUUGCAACCUGGAGCUCAGAGCUAGACCCGCCUGUACUCCAGUCCUGUCUGCUGCCGGGAGCCCAGUACUGUUGGAAGGGCAGAGCCCACAAGGACAAGACAGACAGCGCUGCAGAUGCAGCCCUCAUCAAGGAAGCUGCUGGAGAGCAAGGGUGGGUAGUGGU
Hipposideros armiger (great roundleaf bat) is the source of this 491-nucleotide long non-coding RNA. RefSeq lists it as uncharacterized. The transcript is spliced from 3 exons. NCBI's taxonomy places the organism in Eukaryota, Metazoa, Chordata, Mammalia, Chiroptera, Hipposideridae. The record is from RefSeq and is a predicted model, not a curated record.